GAUGAACGCUGGCGGCGUGCCUAAUACAUGCAAGUCGAACGCAUUGUGGUUGAAAUGAUAUGAAGAACUUGUUCAGAUUUGAUUUUCAACAUUGCAAUGAGUGGCGAACGGGUGAGUAACACGUGGGAAACCUACCUCUUAGCAGGGGAUAACAUUUGGAAACAAAUGCUAAUACCGUAUAAUAAUUAAAACCGCAUGGUUUUAGUUUAAAAGAUGGUCUUGCUAUCACUAAGAGAUGGUCCCGCGGUGUAUUAGUUAGUUGGUGAGGUAAUGGCUCACCAAGACAAUGAUACAUAGCCGAGUUGAGAGACUGACCGGCCACAAUGGGACUGAGACACGGCCCAUACUCCUACGGGAGGCAGCAGUAGGGAAUCUUCCACAAUGGACGAAAGUCUGAUGGAGCAACGCCGCGUGUGUGAUGAAGGGUUUCGGCUCGUAAAACACUGUUGUAAGAGAAGAAUGACAUUGAGAGUAACUGUUCAAUGUGUGACGGUAUCUUACCAGAAAGGAACGGCUAAAUACGUGCCAGCAGCCGCGGUAAUACGUAUGUUCCAAGCGUUAUCCGGAUUUAUUGGGCGUAAAGCGAGCGCAGACGGUUAUUUAAGUCUGAAGUGAAAGCCCUCGGCUCAACCGAGGAAUUGCUUUGGAAACUGGAUAACUUGAGUGCAGUAGAGGAAAGUGGAACUCCAUGUGUAGCGGUGAAAUGCGUAGAUAUAUGGAAGAACACCAGUGGCGAAGGCGGCUUUCUGGACUGUAACUGACGUUGAGGCUCGAAAGUGUGGGUAGCAAACAGGAUUAGAUACCCUGGUAGUCCAUGCCGUAAACGAUGAGUGCUAG
This 837-nucleotide ribosomal RNA is filed under the name uncultured Weissella sp. Its description in RNAcentral is "bacterial SSU rRNA". It matches the Rfam family "Bacterial small subunit ribosomal RNA", at positions 28 to 819 of the family's 1533-position model. Lineage: Bacteria; Bacillati; Bacillota; Bacilli; Lactobacillales; Lactobacillaceae. The record is from RNAcentral.